AGCGUGACGCCGCAGCUCUUAAACGACCUUCGACGCACCAAAUGACACCCCAUCGACAACAUGUGGCCGGCCGCAUCGCUCCUCCCCAACCCCCCGACUCCGCAACCCCGUCCCCGACUCUCCGGCGGGUCCCGACACCGCACCAGCGAACGCCGUCGAUGCCCUACGCUUACCGUGCUUUCCUCCUCCUCUUCCUCUUCCUCUAGCGACGCAAAGGAGGACCUGGUCACUGCCGCCGGGCGUCUCCUUUGGGGCCGCGGCCUCCCCCCUCAGGCCCUCGUCUCUGCCGUCCGAUCCGGAUGGUCUGCCGCGUGGCACCUAAUGAUGCGCCAACUCGCUCCCUCCUCCUCCUCCGCCGCCUCCCCACCUGGCUCCUACGCCCGUCCCACUUCCUCCUUUCCCUCGGUCCCCGCCUCGUACUGCCGGAACCCCAUGAACCUCCACCUCUACGUCGCCCUCCCUUGCCCCUGGGCGCACCGCGUCCUCGUCGUCCGCGCGCUUAAGGGCCUCCGCUCCGCGCUCCCCGUUUCCAUCGCGGCCCCCGGCCUCGAUGGCUCCUGGCUGUUCCGCCCCCGUGGACCCUCCGCCGUCGGCGAAGAUCUGAGACCCGGGCCCGACCGCGCCAAUGCGCGGAGUACGCUGAGGGAGGUGUACGGGCUCCGGAGGGGCGGCUACGACGGGAGGUCGACGGUGCCAAUGCUUUGGGACGCGGAGAGGAAGGAAGUGGUGUGCAACGAGAGCUACGCGAUCAUCGAGUUCUUGAACUCCGCUGACUUCGGUGGUGAGGUUCAUGGUGGCUCAGGGUUGGACCUCUGCCCGUCGGAGCUCAAAAACGAGAUCGACGACUGGAAUCGGGUGAUCUAUCCCAACGUUAACAAUGGGGUUUAUAGAUGCGGGUUUGCGCAGAGCCAAGAAGCAUAUGACACUGCAGUCAAUGGAUUGUUCAACACAUUGGAUAUGAUAGAAUCUCAUCUGUCUACCUCUCGCUACUUGUGUGGGGAUGCAUUGACUUUAGCUGAUGUCUGCCUAUUUACUACUUUGAUCCGUUUCGACCUUGUGUACAACGUCCUCUUCAAGUGCACAAAGAAGAAGCUACUUGAGUACCCCAAUCUUUAUGGCUAUACAUGUGAUAUGUAUCAGAUUCCAGAGGUUGUGAGUACUUGCAAUUUUGAGGCUAUCAUGGAUGGUUACUACUGUACUCUAUUUCCUCUGAAUCCUGGUGGGAUCCUGCCAGUCAUGCCUUCAGCUUGCAAUCAUGAUUUGCUUUCUAAACCGCAUAAUAGAGAAGCAUUAUCUUCGAGUGGCAAACAAAGCAUACAUGCUUCAGAAACCUAACAGUCAACUGCUUGUCUCAGAAAAACAAAUCAUUCAAAAUGUUCCAGCUGCUUUCCCAGCAUAGCAAGUACUGACAUAUUAAAGAAAACUAUGACGCAGUGGCACUACUAAUGCAGGAAAAUCAUACAAAUGUGCAUUGUGUGGAAAGAGUAAGAUUCGGAAGCAAGCUUAUGAAUGCUGAUCGAGGAAUUAUCUACGGCAAAAGGCUUUUAGUGGUUCUGAGAGGCAUAAUUUGUCAAUCGUGUGAUAAAUGGUGAUAGCAAAAUGCCCCUCUAAACACAGUUCUCAGCAUAAGGAGAUCCAAAUUAACUUACAUUCAGAUUCAAAGUUGGCUAGCUACAAGGUACCGCAGGAAGAACGAUACUGGAAGAAGAUCUUGUUGGUUAUUGUUGUAAAAUAAAAUGUAACCAUGAUGAUGGUGUUCUCAAAACAUUUCUGUUGAUUUUGAGAAAUUCUAGAUAGUGAUUGUUAAUUUAUCUAUAUCUUCGUUC
Musa acuminata AAA Group (dessert banana) is the source of this 1826-nucleotide RNA transcript. RefSeq lists it as uncharacterized. The record is from RefSeq and is a predicted model, not a curated record. NCBI's taxonomy places the organism in Eukaryota, Viridiplantae, Streptophyta, Magnoliopsida, Zingiberales, Musaceae. The transcript has 4 exons.